Molecule: ribosomal RNA, 381 nt
Filed under: uncultured microorganism
Description: bacterial SSU rRNA
Rfam family: Archaeal small subunit ribosomal RNA
Source: RNAcentral
GUGCAGCAGGCGAGAAAACUUCACAAUGUGCGAAAGCACGAUGAGGGAAUCCCAAGUGCUUGCACGUAAGUGUAAGCUGUUUCUCUGUCUAAAACGCAGAGAGAGUAGGGGCUGGGUAAGGCGGGUGCCAGCCGCCGCGGUAAUACCUGCAGCUCGAGUGGUGACCGUUAUUAUUGGGCCUAAAACGUCCGUAGCCGGUUUAAUAAAUGCCUGGGUAAAUCGGACCGCUUAACGGUUCGAAUUCCGGGUAGACUGUUAAACUUGAGACCGGGAGAAGUUAGAGGUACUCCUGGGGUAGAGGUGAAAUUCUGUAAUCCUAGGGGGACCACCAGUGGCGAAGGCGUCUAACUAGAACGGGUCUGACGGUGAGGGACGAAGCCC